This 559-nucleotide ribosomal RNA is filed under the name Enterobacter hormaechei. RNAcentral's name for it is "partial 23S ribosomal RNA". It matches the Rfam family "Bacterial large subunit ribosomal RNA", at positions 606 to 1165 of the family's 2925-position model. RNAcentral also lists the same sequence under 1 other name. The record is from RNAcentral. Lineage: Bacteria; Pseudomonadati; Pseudomonadota; Gammaproteobacteria; Enterobacterales; Enterobacteriaceae.
UUUUGUAUAAUGGGUCAGCGACUUAUAUUCUGUAGCAAGGUUAACCGUAUAGGGGAGCCGAAGGGAAACCGAGUCUUAACUGGGCGUUAAGUUGCAGGGUAUAGACCCGAAACCCGGUGAUCUAGCCAUGGGCAGGUUGAAGGUUGGGUAACACUAACUGGAGGACCGAACCGACUAAUGUUGAAAAAUUAGCGGAUGACCUGUGGCUGGGGGUGAAAGGCCAAUCAAACCGGGAGAUAGCUGGUUCUCCCCGAAAGCUAUUUAGGUAGCGCCUCGUGAACUCAUCUUCGGGGGUAGAGCACUGUUUCGGCUAGGGGGCCAUCCCGGCUUACCAACCCGAUGCAAACUACGAAUACCGAAGAAUGUUAUCACGGGAGACACACGGCGGGUGCUAACGUCCGUCGUGAAGAGGGAAACAACCCAGACCGCCAGCUAAGGUCCCAAAGUCAUGGUUAAGUGGGAAACGAUGUGGGAAGGCACAGACAGCCAGGAUGUUGGCUUAGAAGCAGCCAUCAUUUAAAGAAAGCGUAAUAGCUCACUGGUCGAGUCGGCCUGCGCG